This is a non-coding RNA of Russula brevipes, 72 nucleotides long. Lineage: Eukaryota; Fungi; Basidiomycota; Agaricomycetes; Russulales; Russulaceae. The record is from the annotation of a GenBank genome assembly.
GGCUAGGUAGCUCAAUAGGUAGAGCACCUGGUAUAUAUUCAGGAGACCUGGGUUCAAACCCCAGUCUGGUCA